UACGGGGGGGGCAAGCGUUGUUCGGAAUUACUGGGCGUAAAGGGUUCGUAGGUGGCCAACUAAGUCAGACGUGAAAUCCCUCAGCUUAACUGGGGAACUGCGUCUGAUACUGAUUGGCUUGAGUGCAGGAGAGGAACGCGGAAUUCCAGGUGUAGCGGUGAAAUGCGUAGAUAUCUGGAGGAACACCGGCGGCGAAGGCGGCGUUCUGGACUGCAACUGACACUGAGGAACGAAAGCCAGGGGAGCAAACGGG
RNAcentral lists this ribosomal RNA (253 nucleotides) under uncultured bacterium. Its description in RNAcentral is "partial 16S ribosomal RNA". It matches the Rfam family "Bacterial small subunit ribosomal RNA", at positions 524 to 776 of the family's 1533-position model. The record is from RNAcentral.